UACAGUACCAUUCAAAAAUAUCGAUUCGAUAUCGUUUUUCUCCGAUUUCCGUGUUUCUCGAAUCACACCGAGUACCGCGGAUUUCACUCCUAAAAUCCUCCCAAAGAUUCUCUCCCAACACCGCGUGGCUGUAAUUGGUUAUUGCCCAUCGGAAGUACUAAAAAUUAACGACGCGUGACAACAUAAUCGGAUUACCCAGAUAAUUCACCUAUGAACAUUUAAUCGAUCUAGGUUGCACAGGUGUGCUUUAAAAUCACGGUAUUAAAAUUGAAAAUGUUUUCCUUUCUUUGGUAGAUAAAGAUGUGACAAUAUCAUUU
RNAcentral lists this long non-coding RNA (317 nucleotides) under Mytilus galloprovincialis (Mediterranean mussel). Lineage: Eukaryota; Metazoa; Mollusca; Bivalvia; Mytilida; Mytilidae. The record is from RNAcentral.